This 734-nucleotide long non-coding RNA is filed under the name Mytilus galloprovincialis (Mediterranean mussel). The record is from RNAcentral. Lineage: Eukaryota; Metazoa; Mollusca; Bivalvia; Mytilida; Mytilidae.
CUUGGGAAGAAUUUCUUUAUACGAAAUAUCGAAUGAAACAAGUGUGGACACAGACUAGCGUGGACAGUAUCCAGCAUAUAAGAGAAUUACUCGGUCAAACUCAUAAGACCCAAACAAAUUCGAACUUGAUCUGGAUUUUAUCAUGGACAUUUGCCAACCAGACGAUACCACCAGAUAGACCACCAGAAAGACAGAUAAACAGACAGAUCAGACCACCAGAAAGACAGAUAUACAGACAAAUAGGACCACCACACCGACAAGACCAUCAGACAGACAGACCGACAGGCAAGACCCCCAGACAGUCACACAAACAAGACCACAAGACAGACACGCAAAAAAGACCACCAGACAGACACACAAACAAGACUACCAAACAGGCAUAGACAGACAAGACAAUCAGACAGACAGCAAGCCAGACAAGACAACCAGACAGACAGACAGCCAGACGUGACCACCAGAUAGACAGAAAAGACCACCAGACAGACAGAAAAGACCACCAUACAGACAGACAGACAUACCAGAUAAACAGACAGACAGACAAGAACACCAGAUAAACAGACAGACAGACACAGACACCAGACAGACAGACAUACAAGACAAACUAGACUAGACCACCAAACAGACAGACACACAAGACCACCAGACAGAUAUACAGAGAAGACCACCAGACAGACAAGACAAACAAGACCCCCAGACAGACAGACAAAAAAGACUACAAGACAGACAGACAAACA